GCGGGGGGGGGGGCGGCG
RNAcentral lists this microRNA (18 nucleotides) under Sus scrofa (pig). RNAcentral's name for it is "ssc-mir112". Lineage: Eukaryota; Metazoa; Chordata; Mammalia; Artiodactyla; Suidae. The record is from RNAcentral.